Molecule: long non-coding RNA, 8032 nt
Filed under: Brassica napus (rape)
Lineage: Eukaryota; Viridiplantae; Streptophyta; Magnoliopsida; Brassicales; Brassicaceae
Description: long non-coding RNA (BNAP_LNC011980)
Source: RNAcentral
AAUAGGCAGAGAUGAUAAAACUCCAGUGGAAUUAAAAAGAAUAAGAGCGGAGGAUCUAAAUCGUCAUGGAUGCGGGCAGAGAUGGAGUUAGGGUUUGGGUGAGCUGGGUUAGAGGGAACGGGAGGUGGAGGAGGCGGAGGACGGCUGUGGAGAAACAAUGUGGUGCUGAUGGUUGUCGGAGAGAUAGAAGAAGCAACAUCGAAGGAGAGAAAGAUUUGGAAAUAAUUUUUUUUGCCAGAACCAAAAUUUGGCUAAGUAUUGACACUAAUAAAGAAACCUAGGCUCGAAAACUCACUUUCGCUUCCCGCUUAGUGAAAAUACGAUUUAGCACUAAUAAAAUGCUAUUAUAAAGUAUCAUAUUCCAGAAUAUCAUCUUUAAUAACAGUUUGUAAAUCAAUGCUAUUGUAAUGUGCUAUUAAUGUUUCUUUUUUUUUGUAGUGGUCGCGCUUAGGAAACUUAGAUCGGUUUCUUAGCAAAGACGUUUUUCGUUUAUCUUCUCCACAGUCGGUGCCAAAAUGUAGAUCCUGAAAUCUACACUAAGUAUUUGAUAGUGAUCGGAGUUUAAUCUAGGGAAGAUAAAAUGAUGUAGGCAACAAUAUCUUUAGAACACAACGAUGUAAUCAGUUUCCAGUAAGCAAAGAUGAAUUUUAUUGAUGAAUAAGGGUUAAUACAACGGGUGAAUUAAGAUCGAACGUUACAAACGAGAUCAAUAAGAUAAAAGACUAAAGCUAGAUGAAAACAAGGUCGAUAUGUGGGUGUAGCUCUCUCUAGGGUUUUCAGCGUGCCCCCUUUCGUGUGCCUUUAUUUCUUCUUAUAGUGAGCUGCUUCCACGGUCUCCGCAACUGCUCCGCGAUCUUCGGUUCGUUGAAUCGAUCUCUUCUCGUUUCGUCGACGUUGGGCUUCCUCGUGGUCGUCUGGCCCAAGCCAUUCAGGCUCAAUUACCUAAUUGUCCGGAAUUGGGUCCAACAAUAUGGCAUCUGAGUGCAUUAUUCGUUUAUAUAAUAUACCUUGUUAAUAAAACAAGUACCUUUAUAUAAUACUUCAUCCGUUCCUUAAUGAUAGACUUUUUAGAAAAAAAGUUUGUGAAAGAUAUAUUUUUUGUGUUUUCUAUGAAAAAAUUGUAAACUUCAAGAAAAUUAAUUGACUUUAUUGAAUCACUAUUGGUUAAAAAUUAUCGAAAAUUGAAAAUUACAUAAAACAAUACAUUUAUUAUGGUAGUUUAAUGUGUUUUCUUAAUAUGUGUGAAAAUACUAAAAAAUCUAUCUUUGUGAAACCGAUGGAGUAUGAUACAACAGAGAAAAUAUAAUUGAAGUAGACCAUGGCUUAUUAAUUCAUAUUUACGAACCGAACAAUAGCAUAAACUUUUAGAUCAGUUAUACCAUUUGAUAAGUUUGUUCAGUUUAUAACAGAGAACUAAAUCUCGAUCCAAGCAACCGCGCAGAUUUUUAUUUUCAUUUAUUUUUAUAUAAAUAUUUUGUUUUCAAUUCUAAAUUGGUAUAUUAUAAUAUAUAUGUGUCUAUCAAUUUUUAAAACAUAAUAAGUUUACGGUAUAUUUUUUCAUUGAAUAGAUUGUUUCAAACUUUCACAUGUAUUUGUAUCUUCUUCAAUAUAUAUAUUUUCAGAUUAUUAUUUCAUUAUUAAAAUCGUAACAAUAUAUAUAAAGAUUAGUAAAAUAUUGUUUUACUGUCAUAUUCAAAGAUAUUUUAACAUUCAAAAAAUUAGGAAGUUUUUAAAAAAUUAAACUUUUCGUUUCAUAGAUUUAUAUUAUCGAGUAAAUAAUUAAAAAUUUAGUUCUUGUUUAAUUUUUAAAAUAAACUAUAUAGUUUAAAAUUUGUUUUCAUUGGUUCAAGGUAGUAAAGAUUAAUCAUUGUUAGAUAAUAUGAUUUUUGUUAUUAAAAAUUUUUUUUAUGAUUUUAAAAGUUAACAUCGACAAAUAUUUAAUUAAUUAACAUAUGGAGGUAUAGUAUUACAACAUUAAAUUAUAUCUAUUUAAUUUAUACUAUCUAUAAAUCCAAUGAAUCAUCUAUUGCUUAAAUCCAAUUAUUGAUAGACCAAUAAAAAUAUUUGUUAGGCCCAAAAUUUAAAUGAUAAGAUUGGAGAUUAAAUGUAACAUGUCUUUCUAGGAAUAGGUCCAUUAAAUCCAUUUUUAAAAAAAAAUCACACAUAAAUCAAGGUUGUGACUUCUGUUUUAAUAUAUAAGAUAAUGGUUGUAGCAGUAGCGGUCCUGACCGGAAACAACAGAAACACAUGCUUCGGGUAUUAUAUAUAGCUUUUGGUUUGGGCUCUUGUUGGUUUCCUAAAAGGGUGCAAGUUUGAAUCCAUUUAACAUCUCAUUUAUUUUUUCAUAAUAGUUUUUUUUAUGAGAUGUGAAAUUUAUUGAUCAAUGUAAAAAGAAUAUGGUUUUACACAAAAAACCUAUAGAGAAAAAUUUACAAGGCUAAAAAGAAUGAAUGUAAGCUCCAAUGAAUUAUGCGGAGAUUUCGAACCAAUGGCUCGUCAAGCCGACAAGCCUGUGGUUUACUCUGUAACGCAAUGAGGUAAUCUUUGCGGUAGCCUUUUAGAUGUUUCCUCUCAUUCCUCUCUUUCCAUAUAUAGUAAAUGCAGGUCAUGGAACAGCAUUUUUACCAGGAUCUUAUCCAUACUACGAAGAUCAUUUUGAUUUGGUCUAGGACCGGUCCCUUGCAAGACCAGAUGGAUCUCUAUUCUAUUAAAAUAGUUUCAUUCUAAAAAAUUGACUGUAGAAAAUUGUUAUACCAAUUCAUUAGUAAUUUAAUAUGACUUAUUUUAUAUUUGUCUUAAUCAAUCAAAAAUAUAAUUUUUAAAGAAAAUAGCAAACAAUAUACUUUUGAAAGACGGUAAUCCUCCAUUUUCUUAAACAACAAAAUCUUCCUAUACCAUAUCUAAACAAUAAUGAAUACAAAAUCUUUUCAAAUCUUUUAAUAAGUAACGUUGUAGAUUAGAGUCUCUUAUUGAUAAAAUAAUCAUAUAAAUAAAUAUUGUAAUUAAACUUAAAUUCAAAAAAUUAAAUCAUCAAUCACAUAAUAACACAUGUUAAACAAAGCUCUUAACUUUGUGUGAAGUGUUCUCAAACAAGAGCAUUUUCUACUUUCUCUCUUAAUUUGUAUUUAAUUUUUCUUUAUUUUUAAUCAAAGAACACACUCGAGAACACAUCCAAUGUGGACUCAGACUCAUAUCUCUGUAAGAAUCAAAUACUAUUUUCUUAAAUGGCAAAGACAAAUGUGUACAUAAACAUAUUGGAUGAAUGUUUACUGAAAUCAAACACUUUCUCAAAUUAGUUGAGUAUCAUGUAAAUGUAUAACUAAUAUAAACAAAGUUAAUUGAAUAUCCUAAAACUCUGACUCGCGUAGCCCAUAUCUUAUCAACAUCAAACACGUUUUCUUUCUCCCAAUCACAGAGUCAAUAUAUUGAACACCAAAUUUCAUUUUGAUGUUAAUUAUUUGUACCAAAACAAUAAAAAUAAAACCACGCUAAUCACGGAUUAAUGGUAGUUAUUAUUUAAAUAACAGACCCAUAUUUUAUAGGUAUUCCGAGCCUUAAAUAUUUCAAGGUCCAGCCUAGUCGUCAGCCAAUUUGAUGUAGUAUUAGUCUAUUGUGCUUAUACUAUUUGAGAUUUCUCGUAACUAUAACCCAAAAUCACGUGUGAAAACAGAAGAAAGUAUCAUACAUUUAAAUGAGUCUACAAACAUCAUACUAUGCACCAGAUACCAGACCAUCAUAUCUUUUGAGAUUUCUGCAGCAUCAUUGAAGCGAAAUAUACUCUUGUAUAUUUUUUGUUACCGAAUUCAACAUCCAAAAUGACACAUGCAGACUGUAAAAUAGAUAGAUUAAUAAAAUCAAUUGAAACACACACAUACAUAUCAACAUUCUAUUUACAAUUUAUGAUUUUAUCCAAAUCAAUAAACAUUAAAAGUACAAAAAAAGUUAACGGUAGAUAACCACAAGCGAAAACACUUGCGGUCCAACUCUUAGUAACUAUAACAUGUAGUAAAAUCACUAAAAAUGAAAGAAAGACUAUACUUAAUCUUGUUAACGAGAAAGAGGGAGGCAGAAAGAGAUCUUGUAGUUCUUUCUUGCCUUUCAAGCAGUUGCUUAGUGAUUGCGGCACGUUGGAAUUUCCAUUUAUUGGGAAUAUGCUUUUUAGGGUUGGAAAAAGGUCAGGUGGAGCAACUGUUAGAUGCCGUUUAGAUAGAGCGGUGGAGAAUGAGGAUUGACAUGAGAAGUUUCCACAUACAGCUAGCAAGUAUCUCAGGCUCUGGGGUUUGGACCAUCGUCAGAUCCUAGCAGAUAUUUUCUCAAAACCAGUGAGAAAGAAAAAAAAAAUUCAAAUUUGAUAAACGCUGGUUGGAUAAUGAGGAACUAAGACAAGUCAUUCUCGAGGGAUGAAAAUCAGAGGACCUGCCUCCUGAUGCGAAUAUAAUGGAACAUAUUGAUAGUUGUCGAAAAGCUUUGAGUCAGUGGAGGAGACAAAUCAAUGUGAACUCAGAAAAACUAGUGGAAGAGCUUAAAGAAAAUAUGGAAGAUCUAUACUCGAAUGAUGAUGCAGCUCUAAAAGAACUAUCUAAUGCUCUUAAGGCAGAAGAGAUGUUUUGGAGACAGAAGAGUAGGGUUCUUUGGUUAAGGGAAGGUGACAGAAAUUCAAAAUACUUCCAUGCGCUAGUGAAACAAAGAAGGGCAAGAAAUAGUAUCACACAGCUUCUAGAUGAAAAUGGAAAUAUGGUGGAGGAUGAAGAAGGAUUAGUAGCCAUUGCUACUAGCUACUUCAGACAAAUUUUUGAGUCUUCAAAUCCGGAAGAUAUAGCAGAUGCGUUGGAAAAUGUCUCGACAACGAUUACUGGGGCAAUAAAUGAGGAUCUCACAGCUCCAGUAACUGAAUGGAAAGUUAAAUUAGCUAUAUUCUCCAUGCACCCAGAGAAAGCCCCAGGACCCGAUGGGAUGACAGCCCUAUUCUAUCAGAAGUCUUGGGGUACUGUCAAAGAGGAUUUAACUCGUAUGGUUAAUCAGUUUCUUUUUGAAGGAACAAUGGCUCAGGAGCUAAAUGAUACCAAUAUCUGCCUAAUUCCUAAAACGACUAAGCCAAACGAAAUGACAAAGUUUAGACCUAUCAGUCUAUGUAACGUCAGCUAUAAAAUAAUUUCUAAGGUCUUAUGCCAAAGAUUAAAGAAGAUUCUUUCCCAACGGAUAUCUGAAACCCAGUCAGCCUUUGUUGCGGAUAGACAAAUUACAGAUAAUAUAAUGAUAAAUCAGGAGAUGUUCCACGCACUGAGAACUAAGCCAGCUGGAAGAGUUAAGAGAAUGUCCAUCAAAACGAAUAUGAGUAAAGCAUAUGAUAGGAUGGAAUGGUCAUUCAUUUAGGCGGUUAUGCGGAAGAUGGGUUUCUCAAAGAUUUGGAUUGACUGGAUUUUGAGAUGCAUCACCUCGGUUAAGUACAGAGUUCUGAUGAAUGGAAAACCAAGGGGAAAUAUUUUUUCAGGAAGAGGUUUACGUCAAGGAGAUCCUUUGUCUCCUUUCAUAUUUAUUCUAUGCACAGGAGCGCUCGUUAGCUUUCUAAAUCAUGCAGAGAAUCAAUGAAAGAUAACGGGGAUGCGAGUCGCACGCACUAGCCCCCCGGUAUCGCACCUUCUCUUUGCUGAUGAUAGCCUUUUCUUCUGUAAGGCGGAGCCCCGUGAAUGUGAAGAAGUUAUGAAAGUAGUCAGGAAGUAUGGAAAAGCAUCAGGACAAUGUAUCAACUUUGAUAAAUCUGCAUUACUCUUUGGUAAGAGGAUUGCAGCGAAUGAUAGAAAACAAAUUAAAGACACACUUGGAAUCCAGAAUGAAGGGGGAAUGGACACAUACUUAGGAAUACCAGAGGAUAUCAGCGGAUCUAAGUGUAAGCUCUUCGCUUUCCUAAAAGAAAAACUACUACAUAGAGUGAAUGAUUGGACAGGUAGAUGGCUAUCAAAAGGAGGGAAUGAAGUUUUGAUUAAAUCUAUUCUCCUAGCUCUUCCUACAUAUGUAAUGUCCAUCUUUUUGCUUCCUUUGGAGAUCUGCGAGAACCUUGCAAGUGCCAUAGCACAAUUCUGGUGGAGUUCAAACCCACCAAAACGAGGGAUUCACUGGGCUAAAUGGGAAAAGAUGUGUGCUCCCAGAGAGGAUGGUGUAAUUGGUUUCUGUAUGAUCCAUGAAUUUAAUUUAGCUCUUCUAGCGAAGCAGCUCUGGCGUCUUGUUCAAUACCCAGAUUCAUUAGUGGCGAGAGUUCUUCAGGGAAAAUAUUACCGCCUCAGUUCGCCCUUGCGAAUUGGCGCGGUGGAUAACCCAUCUUAUGUGUGGACGAGUAUUUCAGCGGCAAGGAAGCUUUUACUUUUGAGUAUCAGGAGUAAAAUGCAUUCAGGAUAUGAAGUCAAUGUCUGGCAGGAUCCAUGGAUUCCUUCAACGCCAGCUAGGCCGGCACGAACCAGGGCCCAAUAGUAAAUCCGAAGAUGCUUGUAAGUAGCCUUAUUAAUUUUGAAUCAAAGGAGUGAGACGCUCGAAUACCGGCACAAUAUAUUGAUCAAGAGGACAUACUGAUAAUUAUGAGUUUGGCCAUAAGCCCGACCCAUCAACGGGAUUCAUUCUGCUGGAGCUACACUAAAAAUGGUCAAUAUACUGUUAAGUCUGGAUACUGGGUUGCUACAAAUAUUUUGACAGCAGAGGAGGAAACAUAAGUUCUACAGCCUAGCAUAACUGAACUCAAAGCCUUUGCUUGGAAAGUGAACGCACCAGAAAAAAUUCGUCAUCUUAUAUGGCAAUUAAUUUCAGGGCAGGUACCAGUAGCAAAGAAUUUAAUACGUCGUAAUAUGCGGUGUGAUAAUUAUUGUCCAAGAUGUGGAGAGCCAGUUGAAAAUGUUACUCACGCGAUCUUUGAAUGCCCACCAGCAUUACAAGCAUGGGCACUAUCAUCAACGCCGUCAAGUUCUCAAAUAUUCCCUAUAUCAAGUAUGUACGCCAAUAUGGAUUAUCUUUUCUGGAGGAAGAAUACAAUUUGGAGGCCGGAAGAUGAUAGAGACCCUUACCCCUAGAUAAUCUGGUACAUCUGGAAGACAAAGAAUGAUAAGCUAUUCAGAGGGAUAGAUAGGGACCCUUUGGAAUUAGCCAGAUAUGCAGAGAGUGAGUGCCAGACUUGGUAUAAUGCUAAGGAUUCUAUACCUACUCCUCCACAGACACCAAUUGUUGAAGAAACACAAGCCUUAAUCUUGGAUAAUAUUUGUAUGGUGGAUGGUUCAUGGACAUCUACAGAUCAAUUCAGCGGCAAUGGAUGGGUUUGGAAGGACAACACGGGAAAAAUCCAACUUAUGGGGACACGGAACUUAAGAAGGCUGGAGACAUCAUUACACUCGGAACUGGAAGCGUUGAAAUGGGCGAUGGAGAGCAUGCUUCAGCAUUCAACCUGCCAAAGUUUUGGGACAGAUUGUAAGGACCUGAUCGCGAUGAUAAAGGACCCCCAAGCAUGGCCAAACUUUUCAACAGAGCUGGAAGUUAUUCAAAUUAUCCUGAUGUGCUAUUCGGAUUUCAAGAUCACCUACGUGCCCAGAACGAAGAAUGAAAUUACUGAUUCUUUAGCUAGGAAUGCUCGUUUUUUUCAUAGAUCUCUAUGUUUUAUUGGUUUUUCUAUUCAGGUCUGGUUACCCAGAUCACCUCAUGUUUGGAUAAUAGAAUAGCCGUUUGUUGGCAAAAAAAAAAAAAAAAUCUUGUUAACCGAAUAAGCUUGAGUAAUGCUCUUUCUUUCUCCUUAGAGUCUCCAUCUCUACACUUAAGUCGAAUAGGCAGAGAUGAUAAAACUCCAGUGGAAUUAAAAAGAAUAAGAGCGGAGGAUCUAAAUCGUCAUGGAUGCGGGCAGAGAUGGAGUUAGGGUUUGGGUGAGCUGGGUUAGAGGGAACGGGAGGUGGAGGAGGCGGAGGACGGCUGUGGAGAAACAAUGUGGUGCUGAUGGUUGUCGGAGAGAUAGAAGAAGCAACAUCGAAGGAGAGAAAGAUUUGGAAAUAAUUUUUUUUGCCAG